UCCNCCAUUGUUAUCAGGCAUAUGCUGCAC
This 30-nucleotide non-coding RNA is filed under the name Mus musculus (house mouse). The record is from RNAcentral. Lineage: Eukaryota; Metazoa; Chordata; Mammalia; Rodentia; Muridae.